This 2535-nucleotide long non-coding RNA is filed under the name Marmota monax (woodchuck). The record is from RNAcentral. Lineage: Eukaryota; Metazoa; Chordata; Mammalia; Rodentia; Sciuridae.
AGCCCCCACAGCCCCCACUGCCCCCAUGUUCCCCCACGGCCCCCCCUUGCGCUGCGUCAUGCUGGAUUCAAUGCAGAUGUGCAGGGGCAGGAGGGCCUGGGAGCAGACGUGCCUACACCCAGGGGAGCGGGCUAUUAGUCACUCUGGUGGAGAGGGGAGGAGGGAGGGCAGGGCAGCCCAGCUGGAGGCGGCCAGGGAUCCAGGGUGGAGCGCAGUGAGGACUUCCAGCCCUGGCAGCUGGACAGCCGUGUCUGUGCCGGCCAAUGCAGAGAGGCACCACCCCUACCUGACGGCCAGUGCUCCUCGCGACACCCCUACCUGAUGUUUCCUGCGGCCUGGAGCCCACACUGUGUUCUGGCCUCCUGAGCUGGCCGCACAGAUGGCUGUGUCCAGCUUGGCCAGAGGGCAAAGGGGCUGGUGGGAGGCCAAGGGACAGGGACACUCUGGGUUCAGGCACACCCCCCCCCACUACCUGGGGUCUUUUCUCCAGACCCCUGCUCUGUCAGGCUCUGCAGGUGGCUACAGAGGUGACAGUCCUGGCCCGGCUCAGGCGGCUGUCACAAGGCAUGGCGACGAGGGUGGUUCUGUACAGAGCUGGGGUCUUCCACACACUGAGGCAGCUCAAGGACCGUCCCCUGCCCCGCCUCAAACCCUGCGUCUUGUGAUCAAGUCAGAAAGAUUUCAGGCUUGUCACUCAGAGUAAUGGGCAUGAGUUUAUCAAAGGGGCAGAAAAGGGCAGCAGGGACACUCUCAAGGGAGAGGGGCUCCUCUCAGAGAGGAGAGGGACAGCGUGCCACUCUUGCACUCCAGUUUUAUUGGGGCAGUCCAGAGAAGUUUCCAGAAAGUCCCACCCAGGUCCACCUCUUGACUUUUGAUUGACAGCAGGAUGACAUCAGACUUUCAAGUCCCCACGGCCAUGACAACCCUAGUCACCUUGUCUCACACUGACCACUAGUAACUGGAUUUCUUUCCUGGGGCGGGGUACUGAGGACUGAACCCAGGGGCACUCGGCCGUAUCCCCAGCCCUAUUUUGUAUUUUAUUUAGAGACAGGGUCUCACUGAGUUGCUAAGUGCCUCACUUUUGCUGAGGCUGGGUCUGAAUUUGUGACCCUCCUACCUCAGCCUCCCGAGCCACUGGGAUUACAGGCGUGCACCACUGUUCCUGGCUCUAAUUGGAUUCUUAACAUAAAUCAUUUCAGAUUUUAUGGUGAGGAAGAAUUAUCCUUAAUAUCCUGAGCUCCUAGAUCUGGUCACAAAAGCCCUUCGGGGUAGGCUUAUCGACAUGAUUUUGCGCCUGCGUUUCUCCAGCAGAUAACAGGUCGUGUGCUGGGGACUGUGUCUCCUCAUGGGUCCACUCCAGCCAGGCAGGGCUGCAGGUAAGUGCUUCUGACAAAGAAGGCUCGUGAGGGUCAGCACGUGGGCCACUCAUAGAAUGAGUCCCUCCCUCCUGCCCCCACCCCGGCGCCUGUCCCCUCGCCGUUCAACACCAGCAACUGUUUCUCCUGGUUCUGUCUGGACGUCCGAGGUCCAGGUGCCGGCAGGUCCGUGUCUGGGGAGGAUUGUGGAUGGCCACUUUCUCCUUGUGCCUUGACACAGCAGAGAGAGGACAGCUCUGGGUCUCCCAUCAGGAUUUCUCCUCGUGACCUCGUCACCUCCUGCAGGCCCACGUCAACACCAGCCCCUGGGGGCAUAGAUGCCCCCGGAUGUGAACUGGGGACGCAGACAUUCGGUCUAUAGUGGCGGGUUCUGAUUCUGAGUUAAAGGAACCCGUGUUGCGAGGCCACCCAGGUUCUAGAAUUGAGGCCUCUCCUGCACCCCAGCAUUAUGUGCCUAAGUCUCAGGGGAUCCUCGUGUGUGGUUACCAGAGAGCAGGCCACCAGUGAGUGCCUGGUGACAUGAGGCAGACGGGGCGAGAGGGAAACUAUGGACCCUGGAAGAAACAGGCGAGUCAUGGUGGACAGUGCUGGCCGCAGCACCCCUGCUGCUUACGGCUCCAGAGGAGAGGCGGCCCCCACCACGCAGCACAGGCCCAAGACAGAGCUGGAGGUUCAAGUGUAGCCACCACUGAAACUCAGGGGACAGUGGGGAGGCAGGGACAAGGGCAUCUGACAGAGAAGACAGGAAGCCAGACAGGCCGAGGCUGGGUGUGUGGCCAGCAGGACCCCAGCCAGAGAACCCAGGCAGGACGGGGCAGAGCGCUGUGGUUUGGGGGGCUUGGGUGUCCCCCAUGGCACCCUGCUGAGAUUCAGUCACCACCGUGAGGUAUCAGGAGGAUGGAAAGGCCACCCGGUGCUGAGCGUGGGGGCUUUGGAGGGAUCAGGAUUAGACAAGGCCACAGGCUGGGGCCCCUAUGACUGGGUCCUGGUGGCUUUAUAAAAUAGGGAGGGAGACCAGAGGACACACACACACACACACACACGACAUGGGAUUCUCUGUGCUGCCUCAGGACUCUGCCAACAGGAAAGCCAUCACCAGAGGCAACCCCUUGACCUUGGACCUCCAGAACCAUGAGCUAAAAUAAACCGUUUUAUAAAA